This 464-nucleotide ribosomal RNA is filed under the name uncultured bacterium. RNAcentral describes it as "partial 16S ribosomal RNA". It matches the Rfam family "Bacterial small subunit ribosomal RNA", at positions 339 to 795 of the family's 1533-position model. The record is from RNAcentral.
CUACGGGUCGCUGCAGUGGGGAAUAUUGCACAAUGGGCGCAAGCCUGAUGCAGCCAUGCCGCGUGUAUGAAGAAGGCCUUCGGGUUGUAAAGUACUUUCAGCGGGGAGGAAGGGAGUAAAGUUAAUACCUUUGCUCAUUGACGUUACCCGCAGAAGAAGCACCGGCUAACUCCGUGCCAGCAGCCGGCGGUAAUACGGAGGGUGCAAGCGUUAAUCGGAAUUACUGGGCGUAAAGCGCACGCAGGCGGUUUGUUAAGUCAGAUGUGAAAUCCCCGGGCUCAACCUGGGAACUGCAUCUGAUACUGGCAAGCUUGAGUCUCGUAGAGGGGGGUAGAAUUCCAGGUGUAGCGGUGAAAUGCGUAGAGAUCUGGAGGAAUACCGGUGGCGAAGGCGGCCCCCUGGACGAAGACUGACGCUCAGGUGCGAAAGCGUGGGGAGCAAACAGGAUUAGAUACCCGGGAGUC